Molecule: ribosomal RNA, 605 nt
Filed under: Aureobasidium sp. 35L-2-9A
Lineage: Eukaryota; Fungi; Ascomycota; Dothideomycetes; Dothideales; Saccotheciaceae
Description: eukaryotic LSU rRNA
Rfam family: Eukaryotic large subunit ribosomal RNA
Source: RNAcentral
UAAUUAAAAAUUUUUGCAUAUCCAAUAAGCGGAGGAAAAGAAACCAACAGGGAUUGCCCUAGUAACGGCGAGUGAAGCGGCAACAGCUCAAAUUUGAAAGCUGGCCUUCGGGUCCGCAUUGUAAUUUGUAGAGGAUGCUUUGGGUGAAACGCCAGUCUAAGUUCCUUGGAACAGGACGUCAUAGAGGGUGAGAAUCCCGUAUGUGACUGGAAAUGUUAACCUAUGUAAAGCUCCUUCGACGAGUCGAGUUGUUUGGGAAUGCAGCUCUAAAUGGGAGGUAAAUUUCUUCUAAAGCUAAAUAUUGGCGAGAGACCGAUAGCGCACAAGUAGAGUGAUCGAAAGAUGAAAAGCACUUUGGAAAGAGAGUUAAAAAGCACGUGAAAUUGUUGAAAGGGAAGCGCUUGCAAUCAGACUUGUUUAAACUGUUCGGCCGGUCUUCUGACCGGUUUACUCAGUUUGGACAGGCCAGCAUCAGUUUCGGCGGCCGGAUAAAGGCUCUGGGAAUGUGGCCUUCACUUCGGUGAAGGUGUUAUAGCCCAGGGUGUAAUACGGCCAGCCGGGACUGAGGUCCGCGCUCGGCUAGGAUGCUGCGUAAGACAAGCAGG